This is an RNA transcript of Cucurbita moschata (crookneck pumpkin), 2340 nucleotides long. It is a transcript of the gene named chaperonin 60 subunit alpha 2, chloroplastic, with no coding region annotated. The record is from RefSeq and is a predicted model, not a curated record. NCBI's taxonomy places the organism in Eukaryota, Viridiplantae, Streptophyta, Magnoliopsida, Cucurbitales, Cucurbitaceae. The transcript is spliced from 10 exons.
CACCAUUCGUAUGGCCAAAGCGAGUGAGGGAGAGCUCAGGCAUGGAUUCCGAGUCCAGACUGGUGUAAGUGGAUAAAACCCCCACUAAACCUCUGUUCGAAUGACCCGUCGUCUCUUCUCUUCUCGACGACGCCAACAACCUCAUGGAAGUUCCCGCCCGUCUUUCCUCACCGGCUGCCGUUCCCCGAACUCUACUCUUCCCUGCAACGAAGCUCGGUGGGAGCCAAAGGCUAUUUCGGUACGCGAGAAAUUCAUGGAAGAUGAGAAAUCUUGUCGUCAGGGCCGGUCCUAAGAGGAUUUCUUUUGGUAAAGAAUGCAGAGGGGCAUUGCUAGCUGGUAUUGAUAAGUUAGCUGAUGCUGUUUCUGUCACGUUAGGACCCAAAGGACGCAAUGUUAUUCUCUCAGAAAAGGAAACGCUUAAGGUGGUUAAUGACGGGGUUACGAUUGCUAAAGCUAUUGAGCUUUCGGAUGCAAUUGAGAAUGCAGGAGUGGUGCUGAUCCAAGAGGUUGCUAGUAAAAUGAAUGACUUGGCUGGAGAUGGAACCACCACUGCAAUAAUUUUGGCACGUGAAAUGAUCAAAUCUGGAUUAUUGGCAGUUUCCUUUGGAGCUGAUCCGGUUUCGUUAAAGAAAGGAAUGGAUAAGACUGUAAAGGAGUUAAUCGAGGUCUUAAAGAAGAAAAGUACUCCUGUACAAGGAAAAAAUGAUAUUAAAGCUGUUGCGAUGAUAUCUUCUGGAAAUGAUGAAUAUGUGGGGAACUUGAUUGCUGAAGCUAUAGAAAAGAUCGGCCCUGAUGGUGUGAUCUCAAUCGAGUCGUCCAAAUCCUCAGAAACUUGUGUAAUAAUAGAGGAAGGAAUGAAGAUUGAUAAAGGUUACAUGUCGCCUCAGUUUAUUACAAAUCAAGAUAAGUCUAUUGUGGAGUUUGACAAUGCAAAAGUCCUAGUAACCGAUCAAAUAAUUUCGACUGUCAAAGAAAUCGUUCCUUUGUUGGAAAAGACCAUACAACUUAGUCUUCCUCUGCUGAUAAUUGCAGAGGACAUCUCGAGACAAGUUCUAGAAACUCUAGUGCUGAACAAGGUACAGGGUUUAGUUAAUGUGGCGGUUGUAAAAUGUCCUGGGCUUGGUGAAAGAAAGAAAUCUCUAUUGCAAGAUAUUGCACUAAUGACAGGUGCUGAUUUUCUCUCUGGAGAUUUGGGUCUAGGACUCGAGGGUGCAACGUCAGACCAGCUUGGAAUUGCUAGGAAAGUAGUUAUAACAUCUAAUUCAACAACAAUAGUUGCAGAUCCCUCUACUAAAGCUGAAAUUCAAGCAAGAAUUUCACAGAUUAAGAAGGAUCUUGUUGAAACAGAUAAUUCCUACCUCUCGAGAAAACUUUCUGAGAGGAUUGCUAAGCUUUCUGGUGGAGUUGCUGUCAUCAAGGUGGGAGCACAUACUGAGGUGGAACUUGAAGACAGGAAACUCAGAAUUGAGGAUGCAAAGAAUGCGGUAUUUGCUGCCAUGAAUGAAGGCAUUGUUCCUGGUGGAGGUGCUACCUAUGUUCAUCUCUCUGAAUUUCUUCCUUCCAUAAAACAUUCAAUGGAAGAUCAAGACGAGCAGAUCGGUGCCGAUAUUGUGGGCAAGGCACUUCUUGCACCAGCAAAAUUCAUUGCAAGUAAUGCAGGCGUUGACGGAGUAGUUGUUGUGGAGAAAACUCGAGCCUGCCAUUGGCGACAUGGGUAUAAUGCUAUGGCAGACAGGUAUGAAGAUCUUAUUAAUGCUGGUGUAUUAGAUCCUUGCCUUGUUUCAAGAUGUGCACUUCAGAUUGCAGCCUCAGUUGCUGGGAUCAUUUUAACGACUCAAGCCAUAAUGGUGGACAAAAUAAAGAAACCAAAGCCACCCGUUCCUCAUGUUCCUGGAAUAUCUCCAUGAACGCAAAGAAAAGAAAAAUAGACUUCCCGGGAGUUGACAUGAAAACACGAGAGAUCCGCCAUGGCUUCUCUGCUAAGCUUCUGAGCUUGAGUUGAAUAAGUUCAUUGCUGAAGCAAACAGUAAGAUUUACAAAUGCAGUAGCAGAUCAUGAGAAGAUCAAGACUGAAGUGUUAUACCAACCUGCAUUAAGAAACGAUAGCAGCACAGCUGCUUUAAGUAAAGUGUAAUACAAGUUGCCUUCUGCCUAUUUUAAGACAAAAAGUUAGGAAAUAAAUACGCAUUUAUGGUAGCUCAAUGUGAAAGAGAAUUAAGAUAGGUUUAGAAACUGUGUUUCGAAGUAUAUUUUUUUCAUUUUUUAGAAUAAAAAAUUAUGUGUUCAACUACGAUACGAUGAGUUGCCCUCGUGGUCAAUAAGCAUCAUAUAACUUAUAUC